Molecule: ribosomal RNA, 424 nt
Filed under: uncultured prokaryote
Description: bacterial SSU rRNA
Rfam family: Bacterial small subunit ribosomal RNA
Source: RNAcentral
UGGGGAAUAUUGGACAAUGGGGGCAACCCUGAUCCAGCCAUGCCGCGUGAGUGAUGAAGGCCCUAGGGUUGUAAAGCUCUUUCAGUCAUGAGGAUAAUGACGUUAAUGACAGAAGAAGCCCCGGCUAACUUCGUGCCAGCAGCCGCGGUAAUACGAAGGGGGCUAGCGUUGUUCGGAAUCACUGGGCGUAAAGCGCACGUAGGCGGACUUUUAAGUCAGGGGUGAAAUCCCGAGGCUCAACCUCGGAACUGCCUUUGAUACUGGAAGUCUUGAGUUCGAGAGAGGUGAGUGGAACUCCGAGUGUAGAGGUGAAAUUCGUAGAUAUUCGGAAGAACACCAGUGGCGAAGGCGGCUCACUGGCUCGAUACUGACGCUGAGGUGCGAAAGCGUGGGGAGCAAACAGGAUUAGAUACCCCCGUAGUCC